UCUCCCAUCACUUGAUCACCAUAAUAACUCCAUUGCCCGGAUAAUGGCCGAACCCUGUUCCAACGGCUCCAAAACGUACCUUUCUCCACUUCUCCUCUGAUAAAGAUGAGUCCCAUCGUCCCCUUUUCAGGAGUCACCUUUUGGAACUCUCAGAAGGUCCAGCCUUUCCUCCCCUCUUUUGGCUUUCAAAUUUCAAAAUCUCACUUCUUGAGGAAUCUAUUGAGCUAUAAAUAGAGCCCUUUAGGUUGUGUUUUAGGGAGGUCAACAAUUGGAAAGAAUUCCCCUUUUUACGCAAGUUCACAACUAGAGAAAAUCUCUCUUUACUCUUAAGAUUUUCAUUCUCAUAAAAAUCCCUUUUUACUCUAGUCUUGGAUUUCCAUAAAAUCUCUUUAUUGCUUUAAGUUCUUGGCUAAGCAAAUCUACGAAAAUACUUAAGUUUCAUUCUUUUACUAGCCGCAACAACAAAAAACUACUUCAAGCGGAUUUGAGGACUUGAUGACGACAAUAGCCUCAGUUCGCUGCCCCAAGCAGAUAAUCACACUCGUCUUCUCUUCGUCUUUAAUUUUGUAAAAGUAGAAAUGUAACGAGUUCGUUCUUCGCUUGUUGCGAGUUAGUGAGAAAAGACUAAUCACACUUAGAAGAAUUAGUGUUUAGUUUAGUCACUUGGCUAAUUUUCUAUUUUUGUUAUUUGUUAAAAUCUGGGAUGUUUCUAUGUUUAGCAUAAAUCACUAUGAUUGAUAGAAACUAUGAAUUUAAGUAAAAGAGGAGAUCAACCGAUUUGUGAGUAUAUGAUGAUAGGAGCAAGGCAUAUGUACAUUUAUUAUUUGUUUGUUGUUGUUUUCUCGUAUGUUCGAAUAAAUGUCUAAAGAGUUCUGCUUCUUUUACUCUAGUAUUUAUUAUGUAUCAUGUUAAAGUGACGGGAAAAUAGGUUUGAAUGUACUGUGAACUGGAAUUCGAGGAUAUUAAGAUGCCAUGUCAUCGUCCUUAAAUAUAAAACUGGUUGAAAUGUUCCUUUUAUGGGGGCUGUUGGUUGCUGCUAUUAUGUGCUUGAGAUUUUUAUUUUGGAUCCCGUGUCUUUAGGCUUCAGAGAUUGGGAAAUGACAUUAUUUUGUUCUGUCAAAAAUUCUGCUUCCCUUUUACUAACACUUAGUUUGAUAUUGAAUCCCAAAAGCUAUAAAAAAACAUAUUGAUGUUAAGUUCAUUCAUAUCUUUCUCUCAAAAGGUUGUAACUAGCUAAGUUGUCAGGCUUCAAAUCUUGAAAGAAUUCUUAACUAAACCCGUCUCUAGAAGGGAUAAUAAGGGUCCUGUUUGCUUGUUGAAUUUUGAUAAAGUGAAGAAGCUAGGAUGAAUUGGAGAAAUAGUGGAUUACUAUGUUUUCAUGAUUGCUAAGUAUAUGUUUGAUCUAAUGGCUGUCUCUGCUGUUUGUGUGAUUAAUAUCAUGUCUAGAAAAACCUCUCUUCCCUAUAAAUCGCAGUAUAUGUUGGUUCUAAAAUAAGAAAGUAGAACUGCUAAAUUUUCAUGAAGUGUCAUAGGUGGUAUGGUCGUGUUCUUCAGAAAAUCCUUCUUCAUAAAAUACGCGCAAAGUCUUCAACGUGUGCAACUUGUCACAGUUUGAUGUAAACGCCGUGUGCAUUAAUUUGUCAUGGCUUUACUAUAAUGUUUGUCAGCUUUUAAACUUAUACUUUGAGACUUAUCAAAAAUUGAAGUGAAAGAUCCUCAUCGGAAGCUUGAGUUGAGUUUGAUUAAGAUCAGUUAUGAGGUUUAAGUCAAGUCAGGUAAUUUGUUCAAGAACUUUGGAAACUAAAAGGUGUAUCUGUGGACUUGAGGUCCCCUAUUGAGAUGAAUUAAUUCACUGAAGCAUAUGUGUUACCUUCUUAGUAAUUUAUUUGUGAAAAUAAAUGCUAGCUAGCUUCUCUAGUGGUUUUUUUUAUUUCUUAAAUCUUAUGCAUUGUCAUUGUGUCAAGUAGUCAUCGAAGUCUUAAAAGAAGCAUGUAAUCUGCUAAAUAACCCAUAUAAUGGACUGCUGUAUUUGGUCAUAAUUAAAGGCCUGAAUCUUCCUCGUGGUAAAUAUGGGGUGUGUUUGUUUUUUUAUCAUUCUAGUUUUCUUGGGUCAAUUAUCUUAUUUGCUGUUUUGUAUACUCUUUUAGAAGUGAAUAGCAAUCUGUUUGGACAGUUUGGUUAUCAUGUAUAGAGUUCUCCUCGGAAUACAUUAAAGUAGCUUGGUCUCAAGACAGUGUGAUUUUUAUUAGGGAAAAGGGUCAAAAAUACCCCUCUACUUUGGAAAAAGGGCUAAACAUAUCCUCUGAACUUAUUUUGGGUCAAAAAUACCCCCAAUAUGUAGGUUUGAAGUUUGAGGGAAUUGGGGGAAUAAGGGGAUCUUAUGGAUUAUUAUUUAGUUGUGUCAGGUUUAAAUGAUGAAGCGGGUUUAAAAAAAAAAAAUUGGGUUAUUUUGGGGGAUAAUUUCCGUCAAGACGGGUAGAUUUGAAAACUUUAAGGAUGAGAGGGAUAUUUUUGACCCAAAAUAAGUUCGGAGGAUAUUUUUAGCCCUUUUUCCAAAGUAGAGGGGUAUUUUUGACCCUUUUCCCUUUUUAUUAUCUAGUCCUGCUACUUAUUUGUUUUUAAAAUGACUCUAAUCCUUAUCCUUUUCUUCCUUUAUUUUUCAUGAACACCUUGGGAGCAAAUGGGGUUGUAUUUAAAAACCCUUGCUGCUGCGAGAAGUCUCAGUUUGGGACUUCAUUUGUUGCUGAGCAUUCUUCUGCACUUCGCUACAAAUAGCUGCCUGCUUUAAGGCAAUAUCUUGCUAAAUAUAGUUGUUGCCUUGUGGAAAUCUCUGUUGCUUUUUGAGCCAAGUUUCUACGGUAUUUUGAGUUGACUCGUUAUAUUUUGAGCGUAAUUCCUGCUACGUCUUGAGCUGAAUUGCUGCUGCAUAUGGGUGCAAUCUACUGCUGUACUGGUUGCCAUUCUUGAGGCAAAACACUGCUGCAUUUUUGGGCCACUUUGCUGCUGAUUUUGGACCAUGAGCGGCUGAAUUUUUGGUUGUUUACAGCUGCAUUUUUGGGCUGUGUUUUUUGGCCAAAUUGCUGCCAUCUUUAAAGCUCUAAACCUGUUGUUAGUUGGCCGCUGCUUAGUGCCAUUUGAGAUUGAUAACAGAUGCAUUUUGAAAAGGUCGGCUGGUGUAUCUUUGAGGAAAAUAACUGCUGCAUUACUUGACUCGAGCUGCCACCUUUGUUAAGGAAAAACGAACAGAUGCUACACUUGACAAAUGGUUGUUGCCAUAUUUUUGACAAGUUCCUGCUCCUCUGUCAAAAGAACAAAUUGAUAUACUUGGGAAAAGUUUACUGAUUCGAUCAUGAUACUACACUAAGGCCGAUGAAAUCAAAUUUGAGGCCACGCCCCUUCGGAAUUGGUUGUCCCUCGUUUUAGUCCCUUCGGUAAAAGGCGAUGACGAAAAAGAUCUAGAUGAUGAUGGUAAGACAAAGAAAUUCAUGAACAUGUAUCUUGGCGAGGAAACUAGGAUUGUUGGCGAGCAACUGGAUUGCAGUCAUGGCGUGUCGGAUUUUCUUUCGUCUGAAUACCAAAUACAGAUCCCCAAGCCUCCGUAACUAAAAUUCUUAAUGUUGUUAUGAAUCCGAAAAGGAUUUUAUUUGUGUUUACUUCUAAAAUGCCACACUAUGAGGUGGCAUGUAUUUUACUAACAUUUUCCUUUCAUAUUUUGCGAGGUACAAAUAAUGCGAGGCAGUAGAGCAAAUACGUACCAAAAGUUGAAGCGAAGAAAUUUGGAAGCACUGUAUGUUUGGCCGAAGAACUAGAAAAGGGGAAAAUAGGGCUCAAUUGAACCCGAAGCUUGCCAAUUUAAUAUUUCGCGAUCAGCUUGAUUUAAUUUCACAUUAUUAGUAGUGUUGAGUUAAUGGUGGGUCUAAACUAUAACGAAUCAAUUCUCGAGCAAACAAAUGGUUUUCUAUUAUUGUGGCCCAAAUAAUUGGCCCAAAGGUAUUCUUGAAAGCAAGAUAAAAGGAUAAGAUGUCCGGAGAUAAUGGAGCAAAACGGAGCAAAAUGGCGCAAAAUAGAGCAAAAAUAGAACAAGCAGCACUUUCUGGCAGCAUGUUGUGCAUGCGAGUAGCACUUGUUGCAACAUGUUGUGCCUGCGAGUAGCAUUUGUUGCAGCAUGUGCUGCACGCAGGGCAUUUUUGUCCACAAUUUGUUCUCGUUUUGGAAUGUUAUAUUCUCUUUUAGGGCAGGGCAUUUUUGUCCACAAUUUGUUCUCGUUUUGGAAUGUUAUAUUCUCUUUUAGGGUUUGUAAAACAUUAUCUUUGGCCAUUCAACACAAGCUUUGGAGCUAGGGUUUUACACCACGCCUUUGGAGGAGAAGAUUGAAGCUCGUUAAUGAUAAAUUUCUCAACUCUUUCUUCAAUUUCUUGCUUUGUAUUGCUUAUUUAAGGGUGUUGUAUUUUAUUCCAUAACUUUAAUCUUGUUUAUGAAAAUAUUCAUUUACAAAGUUGGAUGAAAUUUCUUGUUAUGCUUA
Lycium barbarum (goji berry) is the source of this 4522-nucleotide long non-coding RNA. RefSeq lists it as uncharacterized. The record is from RefSeq and is a predicted model, not a curated record. The transcript is spliced from 2 exons. NCBI's taxonomy places the organism in Eukaryota, Viridiplantae, Streptophyta, Magnoliopsida, Solanales, Solanaceae.